RNAcentral lists this ribosomal RNA (253 nucleotides) under uncultured bacterium. Its description in RNAcentral is "partial 16S ribosomal RNA". It matches the Rfam family "Bacterial small subunit ribosomal RNA", at positions 524 to 776 of the family's 1533-position model. The record is from RNAcentral.
UACGUAGGGGGCAAGCGUUAUCCGGAAUCACUGGGCGUAAAGGGUGCGUAGGCGGUCAUGUAAGUCUGAUGUGAAAAUCCAAGGCUCAACCUUUGGACUGCAUUGGAAACUGCUUGACUUGAGGGCAGAAGAGGGGAGUGGAAUUCCUAGUGUAGCGGUGAAAUGCGUAGAUAUUAGGAGGAACACCAGUGGCGAAGGCGACUUACGGGACUGUAACUGACGCUGAGGCAAGAGAGCGUGGGGAGCAAACAGG